UCCCCCUGCGUGCCCCCUCACCUCGCUCCUGCUCCGCUUGCAGGCAGAUAGGAAUGUUUUUCUUCCAGCCCGGCAUGUUCCCAGAUUUGCACUUCUCUCCUUCAGGGGUUACUGCACCUUUGGCACAUAGCAGAUCGUAGUCCCAGGGGAAGCGUUUCCAAGCCGGCUCUAUAUGCAGCUCCUCUCUAGUCUGUGCUGCUGCUGCUACUGGGCGAUGGCUUAAAUGGGGGGAAUCACGGUUGGCUCCGGGCAGGAGGGGCUGCAGAAGCGGCGGCGGCGGCAGCACACGGAAGGCACUGGAGUAGGAGGAACAAGUGCAGAGAGCGAUAGAGGCACAGGACUAAGGGGGAGGGAGACAGGAGCAGGAGGCGGGCGCUUCAACUUCACUCACCGGAGAGGGUGGAGGCUCAGUGCUGAUAUUCCCUGUGCCUGCCGGGCAUGCUUUUCAGUUUGGGCAUGAUGUUUGCUCUGCCGUGUGCCGCCCCCUUCCACCUGACUGACCUGGGUGUAGUAACACUACAAUGAAGCGAAUAUAAAACUAUAAAAGAACUUUCAAGUCCCACAGGCUGUUACUAUCUAUACGCUGUACUCAACUGAACACUUAUGCUCAAGAAAGAAAGGGAAGUAGCUAUCGUGAAUUGCACAGCUGCAAUUUAUAGAACAAAGCUUGACAAUAUUGGAUGGCAAACAGGCUUUUGAAACUCAAGAUGUUUGAAAACCACUGGCAUAAGAUUUGAGGUGAACCACUGUCACACCUGAAGUUCCCUAAAUGAAGAGAGGACAGGGGAGGGGAUUCUGUAUCCAGCAGGUUUAUACAUAUCCAAGAAUUUAAAAUGGGAAGGGGAACGUGAAACACCACUUCUCGUAUAUUGUUAUGGGUUUGAAGAUGUUAAUGCUUAACAAUGUUGCUCAAACAUGAGUUAUCUAGGAUUCCCACGUUUCAGCAUUCUUCCAAAUAUUAUUCAUCUGUUUGGAGCAGAGAUUCAUGGUAAGAGCUGAAGUAGUAUUAAUGUAAAGGAAGCAUGGUGUGAAUAAAAAAAAGUGUGCAUUCCCUUUGGUGUUAGCAAGAACUGAACUAAUACAUUCUUUUUCAGAGAGCUUAAAAAACAACUAAAACUCUUGCAACUUGGAAAAAGAUGGCAUGGUAGGAUCAGUCUGAGCCUAAAAUAUUGAUUCCAGUAGACCCAAAGAUAUAAAUGUUGUCAAUCAUUGUUUGACAAUAACUUCUGUCUUUUCUAAGACUUUAGUAGACAUAACAGUAAGAUCUUUUGAACUCCUCACAGCCAUGUAAGCUGUAAGUUGCCUUCACCCAGCCACAAGUGCAUUUAUCAAGCUAUGUAACUAUUGUAACUUUGACAUUCCCUUAGAAUGGGAGGCAAUAAAAAGGGUGUCAGGGCAUAAAGGAUUACAAAACCAAACAUGAAGAUAUUAUAUGAAUGGUUUGAGGAAGGGGCUAAGUAAUUAUCUGCUGAGUACUCCUCUCAGUGCUGACAUGAGAAGCAGUUGCAAAUAGGUCUGAUAAUUUGACUUAAAUUGUUACAGGUCACUAUACAUUUAAAUAUCCAUACAAAACAUAAAGGCUAAUGAUCUGCUUUGGAAAAAAAUUCUGGAUAUUAAUGCCCACACUUUGGGGGUUAUUUAUCAAA
Xenopus laevis (African clawed frog) is the source of this 1646-nucleotide long non-coding RNA. RefSeq lists it as uncharacterized. Lineage: Eukaryota; Metazoa; Chordata; Amphibia; Anura; Pipidae. The transcript has 3 exons. The record is from RefSeq and is a predicted model, not a curated record.